Non-coding RNA from Cinara cedri, 319 nucleotides. Lineage: Eukaryota; Metazoa; Arthropoda; Insecta; Hemiptera; Aphididae. The record is from the annotation of a GenBank genome assembly.
AAAUAGUUGACGAUACAAAUACAGAUAUCGGAUAGAUGAUACCUAUUACGCGUUUGCGUAUUUUAAUCGGUCGGUCGCAGACUGACUUGCCGGUCCUAUAAAACGGAAGCCAGGUCGAGUAAUUUUCUGGCGUCACAUUUGCGUCUCAUUUUCAGUCUUGUGCGGUUGCAGGGGACGAGCACUGCUGCAAGUACGAGGGUUUCGACAAUGUAUCGUCAAAUAAACCAUACGGAAAUGAUUUACAAGUACUGUAGACGACGGUAUUAUUAAUAUCAUUUCCCUAUAGGAAUCGUCAACGUUUCCGGUAUAUCAAUCAAAG